Molecule: ribosomal RNA, 508 nt
Filed under: uncultured bacterium
Lineage: Bacteria
Description: partial 16S ribosomal RNA
Rfam family: Bacterial small subunit ribosomal RNA
Source: RNAcentral
AUUGAACGCUGGUGGCAGGCCUAACACAUGCAAGUCGAGCGGCAGCGGGAAAGUAGCUUGCUACUUUUGCCGGCGAGCGGCGGACGGGUGAGUAAUGCCUGGGAAAUUGCCCAGUCGAGGGGGAUAACAGUUGGAAACGACUGCUAAUACCGCAUACGCCCUACGGGGGAAAGCAGGGGACCUUCGGGCCUUGCGCGAUUGGAUAUGCCCAGGUGGGAUUAGCUAGUUGGUGAGGUAAUGACUCACCAAGGCGACGAUCCCUAGCUGGUCUGAGAGGAUGAUCAGCCACACUGGAACUGAGACACGGUCCAGACUCCUACGGGAGGCAGCAGUGGGGAAUAUUGCACAAUGGGGGAAACCCUGAUGCAGCCAUGCCGCGUGUGUGAAGAAGGCCUUCGGGUUGUAAAGCACUUUCAGCGAGGAGGAAAGGUUGAUGCCUAAUACGUAUCAACUGUGACGUUACUCGCAGAAGAAGCACCGGCUAACUCCGUGCCAGCCGCCGCCGUAA